GUUUUGAUAGCUUAAAUUUUUAAAGCUUAAUAUUGAAGAUAUUAUGAUAGUAUAUUUAUUACUUUGAAAUA
Molecule: transfer RNA, 71 nt
Filed under: Callitettix versicolor
Lineage: Eukaryota; Metazoa; Arthropoda; Insecta; Hemiptera; Cercopidae
Also listed under: 1 other name
Description: tRNA-Phe
Source: RNAcentral